CAAACUUCAAAUACCAUUUCUGUGGUUUUGUAUUUUCUCACUUUAGUAUCAUAUGGUUUAAAAUGUAUCAAUUUAGUAUUAUAUAGUUUCUUCUUUUUUUUUUCGCCAACCCCUCCGCUAUCUUUUCGUUAAAUUAUAUAUAAAAAAACUUCAGAUGCCCACCUAUAGUUUAUCAAAUAUUUAUUUUAAUAUCCUUUAAUUUUAACUUUGUCACUAAUUGAACGAAAAAAAUUAAUAAAGAGAUAAUAAAAAAAGGAAAAUAAAAUAUAAAGUACUAAAGUGAUACAUUUUAAACCAUAGGGUAGUAAAGUGAGAAAGUGGGAAACCACAGGGGUGGUGGUAUUUGAAGUUUUUUUUUUUAAAAAAAGGG
This 370-nucleotide long non-coding RNA is filed under the name Ananas comosus (pineapple). RNAcentral describes it as "long non-coding RNA (ACOM_LNC032898)". The record is from RNAcentral. Lineage: Eukaryota; Viridiplantae; Streptophyta; Magnoliopsida; Poales; Bromeliaceae.